CCUACGGGCGGCAGCAGUGAGGAAUAUUGGUCAAUGGACGAGAGUCUGAACCAGCCAAGUAGCGUGAAGGAUGACUGCCCUAUGGGUUGUAAACUUCUUUUAUAAAGGAAUAAAACGAGGCACGUGUGCCUUUUUGCAUGUACUUUAUGAAUAAGGAUCGGCUAACUCCGUGCCAGCCGCCGCGGUAAUACGGAGGAUCCGAGCGUUAUCCGGAUUUAUUGGGUUUAAAGGGAGCGUAGAUGGGUUGUUAAGUCAGUUGUGAAAGUUUGCGGCUCAACCGUAAAAUUGCAAUUGAUACUGGCAGUCUUGAGUACAGUUGAGGUAAGCGGAAUUCGUGGUGUAGCGGUGAAAUGCUUAGAUAUCACGAAGAACCCCGAUUGCGAAGGCAGCUUACUAAACUGUGACUGACAUUGAUGCUCGAAAGUGUGGGUAUCAAACAGGAUUAGAUACCCUUGUAGUC
This 460-nucleotide ribosomal RNA is filed under the name uncultured bacterium. RNAcentral's name for it is "partial 16S ribosomal RNA". It matches the Rfam family "Bacterial small subunit ribosomal RNA", at positions 338 to 795 of the family's 1533-position model. The record is from RNAcentral.